RNAcentral lists this long non-coding RNA (547 nucleotides) under Piliocolobus tephrosceles (Ugandan red Colobus). RNAcentral's name for it is "lncRNA (ENSPTEG00000001684.1)". Lineage: Eukaryota; Metazoa; Chordata; Mammalia; Primates; Cercopithecidae. The record is from RNAcentral.
AUUAUACUAUUUUUUGGUGCUUUUUUUUUUUAUUAUUGUAGGAUAGCAGUAGUAAUAAUAUGUCUCAAGUGUUAUCAAAAGUAGGAGAUCAAGUAGAAAAAAGAACAAUAAACGAAAUGUUACUUUUAUGUAGAGCUUGGGAAAAUUAUGUCCACCCGAGGGCCAAAGAAUACUGGAAGGAUUCGCAACAACUUCAAAAUAUUCUAUAUUGCAGAUGGUAUUACAAAAAAUGACGACCCUAUUUUGGGUGAUGAUUAUGCAUGCGUUUUUUGGCAUGGGGAAAAAAAUAAAAAUGACAACUGUCCAAUCAUAUCAGUAAAAAAGGGAAAUGAUAACAUUGAAACUAUAACUUACGUCAACCGAGUUCUUAUAUUCUUAUAUGCAGAUGAGGCAAGUUUUCAAGAAUUACAAAAAAAACCUAAGAAGGCAUUUACCAUGGCUUGUGGUAAUAUCAAUUGCAUUAAUUUAACACACAUAUCUUUAGAUGAUUAAGUAUGUAAAUAAGGUAAAAGUGUGAUAAAAUAAAAUAACGCGAGUAAUAAAAACA